This 251-nucleotide ribosomal RNA is filed under the name uncultured prokaryote. RNAcentral describes it as "partial 16S ribosomal RNA". It matches the Rfam family "Bacterial small subunit ribosomal RNA", at positions 525 to 775 of the family's 1533-position model. The record is from RNAcentral.
ACGUAGGAUCCAAGCGUUGUCCGGAUUUACUGGGUGUAAAGGGUGCGCAGGCGGGAUUGUGCGUCGGAGGUUAAAUCCAUCGGCUCAACCGACGAAAUGCCUUCGCUACGGCGAGCCUUGAGUGCGAGAGAGGAUGGUGGAAUUCCUGGUGUAGCGGUGAAAUGCGUAGAUAUCCGGAGGAACACCAGAGGCGAAGGCGACACCCUGGGCCGUACCUGACGCUAAGACGCGACAGCACGGGGAGCGAACGG